RNAcentral lists this long non-coding RNA (596 nucleotides) under Nicotiana benthamiana. RNAcentral describes it as "long non-coding RNA (NBEN_LNC015813)". The record is from RNAcentral. Lineage: Eukaryota; Viridiplantae; Streptophyta; Magnoliopsida; Solanales; Solanaceae.
UUGAAUUUUGAUUGAAUAGAAAUUUGCCUUCGAUCGGACCCUUAGUUCGAAACCAAUUGUGAAUGAAGAACAAGCUAUAAAGUAAGAACUUUGCAAUAGCUAAAAAGCAGAAAAAUAAAUGUGUAUUGCCUUAAUUGGCGUGUUACAAUGUGUCUUCUUAAAGAAAAAGCUCCCCCUUUAUACCGUAAGAGAGUUUUAUCCUUAAUAAAAUUCUAAAAAAGGAUUAAAAAAAUUCCUUUAAUUUCUCGCCAAUUGAUGUGUAACUGAUAUCGGGCGAGAUUUGUGCCGUGAUAUCCGGUUGGGUACAUAUAUCACGGCCCUCUAUUAGUCAUGGGCAAUUAUUUGCCAUAUUUUUCAAGGUGUAUUGGAGCUCGUUUUUAGGCCCGAGGAGUGUUGCUUCAUCACGCAAGGCUCCCAGCCUCGAUUUCAACCUUAUAUGUCCGUAACCUUCUUCCGUUUUCUCAUCAAAAAAUUGUGUAAGCAUUGUUUCCGAUUUUAUCCGUAUACACCUUCCAUACUGAAAUCAUGAUAGAUAGGUGGUGGGUUUGAGAGGUCUGGUUUGAAAAAUUUGACGAGGAAGAGUUGGUAAGUGUUGG